RNAcentral lists this ribosomal RNA (468 nucleotides) under uncultured bacterium. RNAcentral describes it as "partial 16S ribosomal RNA". The stretch from base 49 to 468 matches the Rfam family "Bacterial small subunit ribosomal RNA", at positions 39 to 507 of the family's 1533-position model. The record is from RNAcentral.
GGGGGGGGGGGGGGGGGGGGGGGGGAGGGGGGGGGCGGGCGGGGGGGCGCGGCGUGUGGGGGGGGCUCGAGGGGGGAGGGGGGGAGUGACGCGGGGGGAGCCUGCGCGGGGGUGUGGGAUGGAUGCGGGGAACUGGGGCUAAUCACGGCUACGGGCUCCUGAUGGAGGUGGGGGGGUGGACAGUUUCGGCGGUUGGGUAUGGAGUCGCCGCUUAUCAGCCUGUUGGUGGGGCAGUGGCUUCCCAAGGCUUUGACGGGUAGCCGGCCUGAGCGGGUGACCGGCCACAUUGGGACUGAGAUACGGCCCAGCCUCCUACGGGAGGCAGCAGUGGGGAAUAUUGCACAAUGGGCGGAAGCCUGAUGCAGCAACGCCGCGUGCGGGAUGACGGCCUUCGGGUUGUAAACCGCUUUCGCCUGUGACGAAGCGUGAGUGACGGUAAUGGGUAAAGAAGCACCGGCUAACUACGUG